CUAGUAGAGUCUCAUCCAGGAAAGAGGGAACUACUAUCUCGAUCACCCCAUCUUUAGCUAAGAGAGAGGAGGUCAAGUAGUUAGGCUAAUCAAUAAUGAUACUUGAAGGAAGACGAAAACAUAAGCAUCAGCUAACUCUGUGUUAGCAGUCGUGGUAAAGAGGAUGCAAGUGUUAUCCGGAAUGAUUGGGCGUAAAGCUUCUAUAGGUGGCUUUUAAAGUUCGCCGUCAAAUCCUAGGGCUCAACCCUAGAAGGCGGUGGAAACUAUCAAGCUGGAGUAGGGUAUGGGUAGAGGGAAUUUCCAAUGGAGUAGUGAAAUGCAUAGAGAUCAGAAAGAACACCAACGGCAAAAGCACUCUAUUGGGCUGAUAAACCCUAAACCCUCAAACAACCCCCCCUAAACCCACUAAACCCUAAUGAACAAGAUGAUUUUUUUU
Molecule: non-coding RNA, 436 nt
Organism: Lupinus angustifolius (narrow-leaved blue lupine)
Lineage: Eukaryota; Viridiplantae; Streptophyta; Magnoliopsida; Fabales; Fabaceae
Source: Rfam